This 71-nucleotide transfer RNA is filed under the name Strongylocentrotus purpuratus (purple sea urchin). It matches the Rfam family "tRNA". From Rfam's summary of the family: Transfer RNA (tRNA) molecules are approximately 80 nucleotides in length. Their secondary structure includes four short double-helical elements and three loops (D, anti-codon, and T loops). Further hydrogen bonds mediate the characteristic L-shaped molecular structure. tRNAs have two regions of fundamental functional importance: the anti-codon, which is responsible for specific mRNA codon recognition, and the 3' end, to which the tRNAs corresponding amino acid is attached (by aminoacyl-tRNA synthetases). tRNAs cope with the degeneracy of the genetic code in two manners: having more than one tRNA (with a specific anti-codon) for a particular amino acid; and 'wobble' base-pairing, i.e. permitting non-standard base-pairing at the 3rd anti-codon position. The record is from Rfam by way of RNAcentral. Lineage: Eukaryota; Metazoa; Echinodermata; Echinoidea; Camarodonta; Strongylocentrotidae.
GCAAGAUGGCUCAGUGGUAGAGCAGUGGUCUCCUAACCGAGAGGUCCUGGGUUCGAAACCAAGUCAAUGCA